GAUGAACGCUAGCGGCAGGCCUAACACAUGCAAGUCGAGGGGUAAUUUUCCCGAGCAAUCGGGAAGAACGACCGGCGCACGGGUGAGUAACGCGUAUGCAACCUACCUUUAACUGGGGAAUAGCCCGAAGAAAUUCGGAUUAAUACCCCAUAAUAUUUUGGAAUCACAUGGUUUCAUAAUUAAAGUUCCAACGGUUAGAGAUGGGCAUGCGUGACAUUAGUUAGUUGGUGAGGUAACGGCUCACCAAGACGAUGAUGUCUAGGGGGUCUGAGAGGAUGGUCCCCCACACUGGUACUGAGACACGGACCAGACUCCUACGGGAGGCAGCAGUGAGGAAUAUUGGGCAAUGGACGCAAGUCUGACCCAGCCAUGUCGCGUGCAGGAUGACAGUCUUAUGGGUUGUAAACUGCUUUUAUACAGGAAGAAACCCCCGAAGUGUCGGGGGCUGACGGUACUGUAUGAAUAAGCAUCGGCUAACUCCGUGCCAGCAGCCGCGGUAAUACGGAGGAUGCAAGCGUUAUCCGGAUUUAUUGGGUUUAAAGGGUGCGUAGGCGGGAGAUUAAGUCAGUGGUGAAAUCCUGCAGCUUAACUGCAGAACUGCCACUGAUACUGGUUUCCUUGAGUACAGUUGAGGUGGGCGGAAUGUGUAGUGUAGCGGUGAAAUGCUUAGAUAUUACACAGAACACCAAUUGCGUAGGCAGCUCACUAAACUGUUACUGACGCUGAGGCACGAAAGCGUGGGGAGCAAACAGGAUUAGAUACCCUGGUAGUCCACGCUGUAAACGAUGAUCACUCGUUGUUGGCGAUAUACAGUCAGCGACUAAGCGAAAGCAUUAAGUGAUCCACCUGGGGAGUACGAUCGCAAGAUUG
Molecule: ribosomal RNA, 870 nt
Filed under: uncultured Bacteroidota bacterium
Lineage: Bacteria; Pseudomonadati; Bacteroidota
Description: bacterial SSU rRNA
Rfam family: Bacterial small subunit ribosomal RNA
Source: RNAcentral